This 70-nucleotide transfer RNA is filed under the name Gemmatimonadales bacterium. RNAcentral's name for it is "tRNA-OTHER". It matches the Rfam family "tRNA". From Rfam's summary of the family: Transfer RNA (tRNA) molecules are approximately 80 nucleotides in length. The record is from RNAcentral. Lineage: Bacteria; Pseudomonadati; Gemmatimonadota; Gemmatimonadia; Gemmatimonadales.
GGUGGGGAGGUGUGGCGACACGCCGACGCAACCCAGGUCGGUAUCGCGGGUUCGAGUCCCGCCCCCACCA